Molecule: long non-coding RNA, 660 nt
Organism: Megalobrama amblycephala (Wuchang bream)
Lineage: Eukaryota; Metazoa; Chordata; Actinopteri; Cypriniformes; Xenocyprididae
Exons: 2
Source: RefSeq, a predicted model, not a curated record
AUCCCAUCAGCAACCAGACUCAACAUCUGGACAUCACUCACCUCUGUCACACAUGUUCAGUCCACUGUUGUGGUCCUACUGAAGCUGUGAUAUGAUUGGUCCUCUCUGCUCUGGUGGGCGUGGCUACUGUCAUUAUUCUGGUUUGUGAAAUCAGAUCCAGAAGAGCUGAAGGAGAUCAAGCACAUAUUCACACAUCAGAUACAUGAUUGAUGAUGAUUUUGCAUAUAUUAAUAUUUGUGAGAUUUAUCUAUUAAUGGCUUUACUGGUUUUCAACUUUUUCAGGAAGUGCUUAAAUCUAAUGCAGAACAUUGAACUUUCUUUUCUUCAAUCAAGAUUCUUCCAUUUUUUUUGUUCUUCUAGUGUUUUGGUCAUAAAUACAGAUUUAAAAAACAAAUCUUAUUUGUAAGACUUUAUUGUAUAUAUUUCUCUCUGAUCAGUCCCGGCGCCAUGGGCGGGCAUUGGGGGCCCUGGCCCGCCCUGUGAGUCACUAGUGCCCGCCCUGGAUGAGUCGACAACUCCACGUCCCACCAACCACCAGUCCUUGCUUUUUUUAAUCAAUAGGCUACUGUCAUCAAAAGUUAUCGUUUUGUAUCAUAACUACCGGAUAAAAAUGUGUUUGAUCUGAUUUAAAAAAAUAAAAUAAAAUAAGAUAAAAUAAAA